Molecule: ribosomal RNA, 497 nt
Filed under: uncultured bacterium
Lineage: Bacteria
Description: partial 16S ribosomal RNA
Rfam family: Bacterial small subunit ribosomal RNA
Source: RNAcentral
GAUGAACGCUGGCGGCGUGCCUAAUACAUGCAAGUCGAGCGAACGGACGAGAAGCUUGCUUCUCUGAUGUUAGCGGCGGACGGGUGAGUAACACGUGGAUAACCUACCUAUAAGACUGGGGUAACUUCGGGAAACCGGAGCUAAUACCGGAUAAUAUUUUGAACCGCAUGGUUCAAAAGUGAAAGACGGUCUUGCUGUCACUUAUAGAUGGAUCCGCGCUGCAUUAGCUAGUUGGUAAGGUAACGGCUUACCAAGGCAACGAUGCAUAGCCGACCUGAGAGGGUGAUCGGCCACACUGGAACUGAGACACGGUCCAGACUCCUACGGGAGGCAGCAGUAGGGAAUCUUCCGCAAUGGGCGAAAGCCUGACGGAGCAACGCCGCGUGAGUGAUGAAGGUCUUCGGAUCGUAAAACUCUGUUAUUAGGGAAGAACAUAUGUGUAAGUAACUGUGCACAUCUUGACGGUACCUAAUCAGAAAGCCCCGGCUAACUACGUG